Molecule: transfer RNA, 71 nt
Filed under: Loxodonta africana (African savanna elephant)
Lineage: Eukaryota; Metazoa; Chordata; Mammalia; Proboscidea; Elephantidae
Rfam family: tRNA
About the family: Transfer RNA (tRNA) molecules are approximately 80 nucleotides in length.
Source: Rfam by way of RNAcentral
GCAUUGAGGGUUCAGUGGUAGAAUUUUUGCCUUCCACGUAGGAGACCCAGGUUUGAUUCCUGGUCAAGGCA